Molecule: ribosomal RNA, 253 nt
Filed under: uncultured bacterium
Lineage: Bacteria
Description: partial 16S ribosomal RNA
Rfam family: Bacterial small subunit ribosomal RNA
Source: RNAcentral
UACGAAGGGGGCAAGCGUUGUUCGGAAUUACUGGGCGUAAAGGGCGCGUAGGCGGCUUAUCAAGUCAGGCGUGAAAUUCCCGGGCUCAACCUGGGGGCUGCGCUUGAUACUGAUGAGCUUGAAUGCGGGAGAGGAUAGUGGAAUUCCCAGUGUAGAGGUGAAAUUCGUAGAUAUUGGGAAGAACACCGGUGGCGAAGGCGGCUAUCUGGCCCGUAAUUGACGCUGAGGCGCGAAAGCGCGGGGAGCAAACAGG